GAAAGAUUACUUGAAACAAUAAAAAAAAAGAAACGUUAAAGCAGCCCUUGCUUUCUCAGAUUUUUAUAUGCUGGCGCUCAAAAGAGGGGUGCAGGAAGGAGAUGCUGCAGGUGAUUUGUGACCAGGGCCGCGGCAGUUUCCGUAUUCAGCGUAGACACCCUCUGGAUCACAGCUGCCCACGCGGGAACCUUGCCGUCAGUGUAGCCGGGUGAGCAGAGCGGCUGAGCUGGGACGUGCUGGCCCGCGUACACGGACCCGGAACCCUCACGGUGGGGAUAGGGUACCUUUGAGCAUUGCACUGAACUAAGUUGUUGACGUGAAAUAUUUGUUGUAGAGACUUGGAUAAAUAUAAUCUAAAUUAAAGUUGGAUUCUAGUUGUGUUGUUUUCUUGUGGCCGCCAGAGCAAAGUACCACGGCCUGGGCUGCUUACGCCACAGAAGUUCAUUGUCUCCCUGCUCUGGAGGCUGGAGUCCAAGAUGGGGGUGUGGCGGGUUCCUCCCCGAGGUUCUGGGGAGAUGCCACUCUGGGCCGCUCCCCCCACUGUGGGUGGUUUGCAGGCUGCCUCUCCCCAACCUCUCUGUCUGUCACACGGGUUUUCCUUAUGUGUCGCUGUCCAGGUGUCAUCUUUUUUUUUUUUUUCUAAAAUUUUUUUUUUAAUAUUUGUUUAUUUUUGACAGAGAGAGAGACACAGUGCAUGAGCGCGGGAGGGGCAGAGAGAGAGGGAGACACAGAAUCUGAAGCAGGCUCCAGGAUCCGAGCUGUCAUCACACAGCCCGACGCGGGGCUCGAACUCACGGACCGCGAGAUCAUGACCUGAGCCGAAGUCGGACGCUCAACGGACUGAGCCACCCAGGCGCCCUGGGGCGUCUUCUUUUGAUGAGGACACAGUCAUGUUGGAUUAGGAUCCCACCCUUUUCCACUCUGAGCGCAUCUCCUCUGAUUACAUCUCCGAUGACCUUACUUCCAAACAUCACGUUCUGAGGUCCUGUUUAAGACGCAUCGGCCUAUCUUUCUGUGGGGACACGAUUCAACCCACUCGCUAGUAGUGUAACCAAGAGCACCUUCCUCAAGUCAGUAGAAACAUCUCCCUAAACCUGCUGUUGAAGGAAAGCGGAAGGGUAACCGUCUUUUAGUUUCUGCUUAUUUCUCGCAUUGUCUGUGCCCGAGCCGGGUUGACGGGUGAGUGCCCUGGCUCCCUAACUGAGCACGUGGCUCUCCGGGUAAGCCGACGGAGGGGUCGUGACUGCUGGUCCAACCUUUCUGUGUAGGUGUGCAGCUGCCAGAGCCUCUGAUUCCGAGCCAUCCAAGCCGUCGGGAGCCCUGAAUACGUCGUCUUCCAGUUGGCUAGCUCAGCGACUCAGGUACUGGUCCGAACGGUGUGCACAGAUUCACUUGCCUUGUCCUGGGUGUGGCGGUUCUUGUCGGGUGAGCACGGAAAAGUCGGUGCAGUACAGGUACUAACUGAGUGGUUCAAAUUCUGUACUCCGAGUUAUGUACUCCUGGCACACGGCUUAGACUAGGCAGGGUGAUCGAGAGUCUGGAUUGGAGCUUUCUUGAGCUCCGGAUUAUCAGUGCAAUUUAUUCCAGCACAGAGCGGAUCACACGGUUGGCGUUUUAUAGCUGUUUCUGAAAUACAGAUCUUUUAUAUGAUCAGCUGCUCCGGGUUAGUCAAGAUGGACCUAAAAAAAUAAGCUGUUGUUUUGUUCUCUUUCAGAUGGAAAGUAAAGAGAUGAUGUGACUCCGUCCACAUGGAGACAUUAGCUUGUGUUGCGUAUUUUAACUUUACAGACCGUGUUUGUGCUGUAGCGCCUUUACGCUUCUCAUGGCAAACAGUCUGGAAUGUCAUUAAAACUUUUCCAGUAAAAUGUGCAAAUUUUGGCAAAACAAACAGAAGGGUAUCGAUAUUCUGAGCUUGGCUAAACUGCGUCAGCCCCUGCUUCCUCCCUCCUGCCCCCAAAUGAAGUGACGUGGAGAGCAAAGGGCCUGAGUAUUACCCGGCCUGAGUCCCGCAAGAACCUGGCACUGUGGAGGCCUCUGUCCCUUACAUACCCGCACAGCUGAUGGCACUCUGUCUUUAUCAGUGGCUUCCGUGGUGACCGCCCCUGGAGCCCAGAAGAAGGGGGAGGCCUUGGGCCUACUUGGCUAAGGG
RNAcentral lists this long non-coding RNA (2149 nucleotides) under Lynx pardinus (Iberian lynx). Lineage: Eukaryota; Metazoa; Chordata; Mammalia; Carnivora; Felidae. The record is from RNAcentral.